This 581-nucleotide ribosomal RNA is filed under the name Melampsora abietis-canadensis. Its description in RNAcentral is "eukaryotic LSU rRNA". It matches the Rfam family "Eukaryotic large subunit ribosomal RNA", at positions 272 to 846 of the family's 3401-position model. The record is from RNAcentral. Lineage: Eukaryota; Fungi; Basidiomycota; Pucciniomycetes; Pucciniales; Melampsoraceae.
GUUUGGGAAUGCAGCUCAAAGUGGGUGGUAAAUUCCAUCUAAGGCUAAAUAUAAGUGAGAGACCGAUAGCAUACAAGUACCGUGAGGGAAAGAUGAAAAGAACUUUGAAAAUAGAGUUAACAGUACGUGAAAUUGCUGAAAGGGAAACGUUUGAAGUUAGUAUUGUAUUCGUUGGAUCAGCUUCGCAAGGAGUGUAUUCCGAUGAUAAGCAAGUCAACAUCAAUCGAUGAGUGUUGGAUAAGGGUUUCGAGAAUGUAGCAAUUUAAUUGUGUUAUAGCUUGGGACUUGGAUACAACGCUCUUGAUUGAGGAACGCGUAGUAAGCUUUGMGCGGGUUCGAAAGAAUCUCCUUACUAUGGAUGUUGGUGAAAUAACUUUAAGCGACCCGUCUUGAAACACGGACCAAGGAGUCUAACAUGCUUGCGAGUAUUAGGGUGUUGAAACCCGAAUGCGUAAUGAAAGUGAAUUUCAGAUGUGAUCCGCAAGGUGCAACAUCGGCCGGUCCUGAUUAUUUAUAUGACGGUACUGAGCAAGAGCAAGUAUGUUAGGACCCGAAAGAUGGUGAACUAUGCCUGGAUAGGG